This 301-nucleotide ribosomal RNA is filed under the name uncultured bacterium. Its description in RNAcentral is "partial 16S ribosomal RNA". It matches the Rfam family "Bacterial small subunit ribosomal RNA", at positions 509 to 807 of the family's 1533-position model. The record is from RNAcentral.
CAGUAGCCACGGUAAUACAGAGGGUGCGAGCGUUAAUCGGAUUUACUGGGCGUAAAGCGUGCGUAGGCGGCUUUUUAAGUCGGAUGUGAAAUCCCUAAGCUUAACUUAGGAAUUGCAUUCGAUACUGGGAAGCUAGAGUAUGGGAGAGGAUGGUAGAAUUCCAGGUGUAGCGGUGAAAUGCGUAGAGAUCUGGAGGAAUACCGAUGGCGAAGGCAGCCAUCUGGCCUAAUACUGACGCUGAGGUACGAAAGCAUGGGGAGCAAACAGGAUUAGAUACCCCUGUAGUCCCUGUCUCUUAUAC